AAAUUGAAGAGUUUGAUCAUGGCUCAGAUUGAACGCUGGCGGCAGGCCUAACACAUGCAAGUCGAACGGUAACAGGAAGCAGCUUGCUGCUUCGCUGACGAGUGGCGGACGGGUGAGUAAUGUCUGGGAAACUGCCUGAUGGAGGGGGAUAACUACUGGAAACGGUGGCUAAUACCGCAUAACGUCGCAAGACCAAAGAGGGGGACCUUCGGGCCUCUUGCCAUCAGAUGUGCCCAGAUGGGAUUAGCUUGUUGGUGAGGUAACGGCUCACCAAGGCGACGAUCCCUAGCUGGUCUGAGAGGAUGACCAGCCACACUGGAACUGAGACACGGUCCAGACUCCUACGGGAGGCAGCAGUGGGGAAUAUUGCACAAUGGGCGCAAGCCUGAUGCAGCCAUGCCGCGUGUAUGAAGAAGGCCUUCGGGUUGUAAAGUACUUUCAGCGGGGAGGAAGGUGUUGCGGUUAAUAACCGCAGCAAUUGACGUUAC
This 488-nucleotide ribosomal RNA is filed under the name Salmonella enterica. RNAcentral's name for it is "bacterial SSU rRNA". It matches the Rfam family "Bacterial small subunit ribosomal RNA", at positions 1 to 478 of the family's 1533-position model. The record is from RNAcentral. Lineage: Bacteria; Pseudomonadati; Pseudomonadota; Gammaproteobacteria; Enterobacterales; Enterobacteriaceae.